Molecule: non-coding RNA, 452 nt
Organism: Schizosaccharomyces pombe (fission yeast)
Lineage: Eukaryota; Fungi; Ascomycota; Schizosaccharomycetes; Schizosaccharomycetales; Schizosaccharomycetaceae
Source: the annotation of a GenBank genome assembly
GAUAAAAGUCUUCAACUUUGUGAAUAAUCUUCAAAAACUCUUCUGGGUGCUCAGAUUUCCACUUGGUGACCCAGAAGCCAUGAAAUUUUAGAUUUUUAAAUAUCAAUAAAGACACCGGGACAGGUAGAGGCUGACGAGACAUUCCUCCAAAGGUUGCCAUAGUGGCUCCUUUGGACAUGUACUUGGCCAUUUCAGCCGCUACACGUCCACUAACACAGUCAAUACCCAGUUUUACCUCUCCCCCUUGAAUCCAUUCAGGGACCUUUUGCUUCAUGGUUUUGCGAUCCAUCAGCUCUUCAUCAGUAAUGACGAUAGUAGCACCCAAGGACUUAAGUUGCUCCUUUAACUUUUCAAUAUCGGGACGAUUUCGGACAACGUUAAUACUUUUGUAGCCAAAGUGUUUUGCUAAUUGAAUCGUUGCAAUUCCAACCAUACUAUUUGCGCCAUCCUGA